Molecule: long non-coding RNA, 411 nt
Organism: Bubalus bubalis (water buffalo)
Lineage: Eukaryota; Metazoa; Chordata; Mammalia; Artiodactyla; Bovidae
Exons: 3
Source: RefSeq, a predicted model, not a curated record
CACUUCUCCACUGUGUUACUGAAGAACGACGUUUUCCUUUGCUUUUGAACCAGACUUCGUCUCUUUCUACUGGCUGUGACAAGACUAGGCAGAAGGACCCUUGCUGGGGCGCAACUCGAAAUGUGAUCCAUCCAUGACUUAAGUAGGUGAACUCUAAGGAAAAGCCAUCGGAUGCUCUUCAGGCCAUAAUUUUGUGGAAAAUGCUUCUUUCUUGACAAAGACAGAAAUACAGACAAGAAAGAAAAUCAGUCCUCAGGUCUGAAAUUUCCUCACUGAAGAAGUUAAAUAGGAACAUGGUUCUCAAGUUCUCUAGGGACCUGCAGGGCACUCCAUCAUUUUCUCUUGCCAUCUGACACCUUAAAGGAAAGAUAAAGUGGAGAUGAAAGGAUUUACUCGAAGGAAAACUCCAAG